This 722-nucleotide long non-coding RNA is filed under the name Heterocephalus glaber (naked mole-rat). RNAcentral's name for it is "lncRNA (ENSHGLG00000041356.1)". Lineage: Eukaryota; Metazoa; Chordata; Mammalia; Rodentia; Bathyergidae. The record is from RNAcentral.
AGCUGCGGAUGCCUGGGGCUGGUCGCUCUCAAAUGGGACUCUCACACUUCCGCUCCGUAGGACGGGCCCUGGAGCUGCUUUUGUUGGGAACACAAGCCCACUCCUCUCCCUUAAACUGGAAUGAUCUGGUUAAGUGUGGGAAGAACAGGGUACUAAUUAUAUUAUCGUUCCUACAACUGGAUUGGUAGGUGGAGAGGGGGAAAAAAAAUCCUGCUGACGUUUCUCUCCAGUUGCUGCUAUUGAAAAUACCAGGUUGCUUCAAAGGAUUAACCGCAAGAGGAAACACGCCUGUUAGAGAAACAGUGGAGGAAGCUGCUUAGAGCACGCGAAAAAACCUGUUCGAAAAGGCACAGGAAACGUUAACACAGGGCCCGAGUGUGUGUGUUCACAGGCCAACCUUGAAUGUCUUCUGGGAGUUUCCAGAGAGGCCUCUCUUCCAGGACCUGUGCUGCUGGUCACUCCCCUCCAAGGCCCUGUGCCAUUCAUUCCAGCACAUGACUUCACCCAUCUGGUCACUGGGCAAAAGGGGGCGAAGCCGACCAGUCUUUUUGCUGCAGAGGGAUGAGCCAGUUCAAUGCCCCCGAGAGAUGGCCCCACUAAGCAAGAACUGGAACAUAUUAAAAGAAAAUACAACUCACCAUGAGAGCCAUGGCCUAAUUAUAUUCAUUUACCUGGGAGCAGGCACUGGAUGCCCUCAAGGGAGAGCCUGCCACUUCAUCCCA